Molecule: ribosomal RNA, 542 nt
Filed under: uncultured bacterium
Lineage: Bacteria
Description: SSU rRNA
Rfam family: Bacterial small subunit ribosomal RNA
Source: RNAcentral
GCAACGCGAAAAACCUUACCCACCUUUGACAUGUACGGAACCCUUUAGAGAUAGAGGGGUGCUCGAAAGAGAGCCGUAACACAGGUGCUGCAUGGCUGUCGUCAGCUCGUGUCGUGAGAUGUUGGGUUAAGUCCCGCAACGAGCGCAACCCUUGUCAUUAGUUGCUACAUUCAGUUGGGCACUCUAAUGAGACUGCCGGUGACAAGCCGGAGGAAGGUGGGGAUGACGUCAAGUCCUCAUGGCCCUUAUAGGUGGGGCUACACACGUCAUACAAUGGCUGGUACAAAGGGUUGCCAACCCGCGAGGGGGAGCUAAUCCCACAAAGCCAGUCGUAGUCCGGAUCGUAGUCUGCAACUCGACUACGUGAAGUCGGAAUCGCUAGUAAUCGUGGAUCAGAAUGUCACGGUGAAUACGUUCCCGGGUCUUGUACACACCGCCCGUCACACCAUGGGAGCGGGUUCUGCCAGAAGUAGUUAGCUUAACCGCAAGGAGGGCGAUUACCACGGCAGGGUUCGUGACUGGGGUGAAGUCGUAACAAGGUA